ACAGAACGGUUCAUCUACAAGAUCCGACAGUAUCUGAUGUUGAGCUAACCGUUCUGAGA
Molecule: microRNA precursor, 59 nt
Filed under: Caenorhabditis remanei
Lineage: Eukaryota; Metazoa; Nematoda; Chromadorea; Rhabditida; Rhabditidae
Description: microRNA crm-mir-7603 precursor
Source: miRBase by way of RNAcentral